CAGUCGCCACGGUAAUACGAAGGGGGCUAGCGUUGCUCGGAAUUACUGGGCGUAAAGGGCGCGUAGGCGGACAGUUCAGUCGGGGGUGAAAGCCCGGGGCUCAACCUCGGAAUUGCCUUCGAUACUGGCUGUCUUGAGUAUGAGAGAGGUGUGUGGAACUCCGAGUGUAGAGGUGAAAUUCGUAGAUAUUCGGAAGAACACCAGUGGCGAAGGCGACACACUGGCUCAUUACUGACGCUGAGGCGCGAAAGCGUGGGGAGCAAACAGGAUUAGAUACCCCUGUAGUCCCUGUCUCUUAUAC
RNAcentral lists this ribosomal RNA (301 nucleotides) under uncultured bacterium. Its description in RNAcentral is "partial 16S ribosomal RNA". It matches the Rfam family "Bacterial small subunit ribosomal RNA", at positions 509 to 807 of the family's 1533-position model. The record is from RNAcentral.